This 75-nucleotide transfer RNA is filed under the name Bacteroidetes bacterium RIFCSPHIGHO2_02_FULL_44_7. RNAcentral describes it as "tRNA-Val". It matches the Rfam family "tRNA". From Rfam's summary of the family: Transfer RNA (tRNA) molecules are approximately 80 nucleotides in length. Their secondary structure includes four short double-helical elements and three loops (D, anti-codon, and T loops). Lineage: Bacteria; Pseudomonadati; Bacteroidota. The record is from RNAcentral. RNAcentral also lists the same sequence under 1 other name.
GAGCUAUUAACUCAGUUGGUUUAGAGUGUCACCUUGACAGGGUGGAAGUCACUGGUUCGAAUCCAGUAUAGCUCA